RNAcentral lists this ribosomal RNA (443 nucleotides) under uncultured bacterium. Its description in RNAcentral is "bacterial SSU rRNA". It matches the Rfam family "Bacterial small subunit ribosomal RNA", at positions 338 to 795 of the family's 1533-position model. The record is from RNAcentral.
CCUACGGGGGGCAGCAGUAGGGAAUAUUGCACAAUGGAGGAAACUCUGAUGCAGCGACGCCGCGUGAGUGAUGAAGGACUUCGGUUCGUAAAGCUCUGUCGUAUGGGAAUAAGAAAGUGAAGGUACCAUGCAAGAAAGGAUCGGCUAACUUCGUGCCAGCAGCCGCGGUAAGACGAGGGAUCCUAGCGUUGUUCGGAAUCAUUGGGCGUAAAGCGGGUGUAGGUGGCUCUAUAAGUCAAGUGUGAAAGCCCCGGGCUUAACCUGGGAAGUGCAUUUGAUACUGCAGAGCUUGAGUGCUAGAGAGGUCAUUAGAAUUCCUGGUGUAGUGGUGAAAUACGUAGAUAUCAGGAGGAAUACCGGAGGCGAAGGCGGAUGGCUGGCUAGACACUGACACUGAGACCCGAAAGCGUGGGGAUCAAACAGGAUUAGAUACCCUGGUAGUC